This 253-nucleotide ribosomal RNA is filed under the name Anthopleura buddemeieri. RNAcentral's name for it is "partial large subunit ribosomal RNA". It matches the Rfam family "Eukaryotic large subunit ribosomal RNA", at positions 31 to 279 of the family's 3401-position model. The record is from RNAcentral. Lineage: Eukaryota; Metazoa; Cnidaria; Anthozoa; Actiniaria; Actiniidae.
AAUUCAAGCAUAUUAAUAAGCGGAGGAAAAGAAACUAACAAGGAUUCCCCUAGUAAUGGCGAAUGAAGCGGGAACAGCUCAAAUUUGAAAUCUCCGUCGCUUGCGACGGCGAAUUGUAGUUUCGAGAAGCACUUUCUAGGCGGACCCGGCCCCGUCCAAGUUGCUUGGAACAGCACGUCAUAGAGGGUGACAACCCCGUCUGUGGCGGAGCCGGCCGCUGACGAUGCGCUUUCCAAGAGUGGGUUGCUUGGGA